This 468-nucleotide ribosomal RNA is filed under the name uncultured bacterium. RNAcentral describes it as "partial 16S ribosomal RNA". It matches the Rfam family "Bacterial small subunit ribosomal RNA", at positions 28 to 507 of the family's 1533-position model. The record is from RNAcentral.
GACGAACGCUGGCGGCGUGCUUAACACAUGCAAGUCGAACGGAAAGGCCCUGCUUUUGUGGGGUGCUCGAGUGGCGAACGGGUGAGUAACACGUGAGUAACCUGCCCUUUACUUUGGGAUAACUUCAGGAAACUGGGGCUAAUACCGGAUAGGAGCUCCUGCUGCAUGGUGGGGGUUGGAAAGUUUCGGCGGUUGGGGAUGUACUCGCGGCUUAUCAGCUUGUUGGUGGGGUAGUGGCUUACCAAGGCUUUGACGGGUAGCCGGCCUGUGAGGGUGACCGGGCACAUUGGGACUGAGAUACGGCCCAGAAUGCUACGGGAGGCAGCAGUGGGGAAUAUUGCACAAUGGGAGGAAGCCUGAUGAAGAAACGCCGCGUGCGGGAUGACGGCCUUCGGGUUGUAAACAGCUUUCGAAUGUGACGAAGAGUGAGUGACGGUAAUGGGUAAAGAAGCACCGGCUAACUACGUG